Molecule: ribosomal RNA, 497 nt
Filed under: uncultured bacterium
Lineage: Bacteria
Description: partial 16S ribosomal RNA
Rfam family: Bacterial small subunit ribosomal RNA
Source: RNAcentral
GAUGAACGCUGGCGGCGUGCCUAAUACAUGCAAGUCGAGCGAACGGACGAGAAGCUUUCUUUUCUGAUGUUAGCGGCGGACGGGUGAGUAACACGUGGAUAACCUACCUAUAAGACUUGGAUAACUUCGGGAAACCGGAGCUAAUACCGGAUAAUAUUUUGAACCGCAUGGUUCAAAAGUGAAAGACGGUCUUGCUGUCACUUAUAGAUGGAUCCGCGCUGCAUUAGCUAGUUGGUAAGGUAACGGCUUACCAAGGCAACGAUGCAUAGCCGACCUGUGAGGGUGAUCGGCGACACUGGAACUGAGCCACGGUCCAGACUCCGACGGGAGGCAGCAGUAGGGAAUCUUCCGCGAUGGGCGAAAGCCUGACGGAGCAACGCCGCGGGAGUGAUGAAGGUCUUCGGACCGUAAAACUCUGUUAUUAGGGAAGAACAUAUGUGUAAGUGACUGUGCACAUCGUGACGGUACCUAAUCAGAAAGCCACGGCUAACUACGUG